UAAGGAGAGUGCGAAUUUUAUUCGGAAUUAUUGUUUGUAAUGAGUGCGAAUUCGGAUUGUUAGCUCAGAUGUUACAGCCCCGGAUUCCACCUGAGAAAUGUUUUUGAUACUGGCUCCCUAUAGUUUGAUAGAGGCAAUGUGAAUUCCUAGUGGAACUGUGAGAUGAGUACAGAUUAUAAGGAACAUCAGGGGUUAAGGCCCCUUCCUGCUUUAUCAUUGACGCUGAGUGGUGAAAGCGUGCGUAUGACACAGGAUUAUAUAACCUGGUAUGCCACGCCGAACACGAUGACAACUAGUUGUUGCGCUUAUUAAAUAGGAUAUAGAAUGAAGCUAACUGCGAUAACUUGACCGCCUGGGGACUACUUUCGUAAGAUUAGAACACACAUUACUUGACGAGGGCCCGCACAACGGUUGGAGUAUGAGUGUUACUUCUGUGCAACUGGAAGAGCCUUACCAUCCCUUGACAUCCUGCUAACUUUCUAGAGAUAGAUUGGUGCCUUCGGGAAUGCACUGACAGUUGCUGCAUGGCUGUAGUCAGCUCGUGUCGUGAGAUGUCAGGGUAAGUUACCCAACGAGCGCACGCCUUAUCAUUAGCUGGUCUCAAUUAGGUGAGAACUCUAAUGAGACUGCCGGUGAUAAACCGGAGGAAGGCGGGGACGACGUCAAGUCAUCAUGGUCCUUAUGGGAUGGCCUACACUCGUGCUACAAUGGGAGAUACACAGAGCGGCCAACUGGCGUCAGUUCGUGCAUCUCAAAAAAUCUCUCGUAGUCCGGAUCAGAGUCUGCAACUCGACUCCAAGAAGUCGGAAUCCAUAGUAAUCGCGAAUCAGAAUGUCGCGGUGAAUCCGUUCCCGUGACC
This 859-nucleotide ribosomal RNA is filed under the name uncultured bacterium. RNAcentral describes it as "SSU rRNA". It matches the Rfam family "Bacterial small subunit ribosomal RNA", at positions 524 to 1381 of the family's 1533-position model. The record is from RNAcentral.